UGGGGAAUCUUGCACAAUGGGGGAAACCCUGAUGCAGCGACGCCGCGUGAGCGAUGAAGGUUUUCGAAUCGUAAAGCUCUGUCCUAUGGGAAGAUAAUGACGGUACCAUGGGAGGAAUCCCCGGCUAACUACGUGCCAGCAGCCGCGGUAAUACGUAGGGGGCGAGCGUUGUCCGGAAUUACUGGGCGUAAAGGGUUCGCAGGCGGCAUGGCAAGUCCGAUGUAUAAGGAGAAGGCUCAACCUUCGUAAGCAUCGGAAACUGUCAAGCUUGAGUGAAGGAGAGGCAAAUGGAAUUCCUAGUGUAACGGUGGAAUGCGUAGAUAUUAGGGGGAAAACCGGUGGCGAAGGAGACUUGCUGGACUUAAACUGAAGCAGAGGAAAGAAAGAGUGGGUAGCAAACAGG
This 403-nucleotide ribosomal RNA is filed under the name Fusobacteriota bacterium. RNAcentral's name for it is "Fusobacteria bacterium partial 16S ribosomal RNA". It matches the Rfam family "Bacterial small subunit ribosomal RNA", at positions 355 to 776 of the family's 1533-position model. The record is from RNAcentral. Lineage: Bacteria; Fusobacteriati; Fusobacteriota.